AACAUGCAGUCGAACGGCAGCGGGGGCUUCGGCCUGCCGGCGAGUGGCGAACGGGUGAGUAAUGCAUCGGAACGUGCCCAAGUCGUGGGGGAUAACUACGCGAAAGCGUGGCUAAUACCGCAUACGUCCUGAGGGAGAAAGCGGGGGAUCUUCGGACCUCGCGCGAUUGGAGCGGCCGAUAUCGGAUUAGCUAGUUGGUGGGGUAAAGGCUCACCAAGGCGACGAUCCGUAGCGGGUCUGAGAGGAUGAUCCGCCACACUGGGACUGAGACACGGCCCAGACUCCUACGGGAGGCAGCAGUGGGGAAUUUUGGACAAUGGAGGCAACUCUGAACCAGCCAUGCCGCGUGCAGGAAGACGGCCCUACGGGUUGUAAACUGCUUUUAUAUGGGAAGAAACCUUUGGACGUGUCCGAAGCUGACGGUACCAUAUGAAUAAGGGUCGGCUAACUCCGUGUCAGCAGCCGCGGUAAUACGGAGGACCCGAGCGUUAUCCGGAUUCAUUGGGUUUAAAGGGUGCGCAGGCGGAGGAGUAAGUCAGGGGUGAAAGCCGGCAGCUUAACUGUCGAAUUGCCUUUGAUACUGCUUUUCUUGAGUAUGGUUGAUGUGGGCGGAAUGUGGCAUGUAGCGGUGAAAUGCUUAGAUAUGCCACAGAACACCGAUUGCGAAGGCAGCUCACAAAGCCAUUACUGACGCUCAUGCACGAAAGCAUGGGGAGCAAACAGGAUUAGA
RNAcentral lists this ribosomal RNA (730 nucleotides) under uncultured bacterium. Its description in RNAcentral is "bacterial SSU rRNA". It matches the Rfam family "Bacterial small subunit ribosomal RNA", at positions 52 to 782 of the family's 1533-position model. The record is from RNAcentral.